Long non-coding RNA from Anopheles funestus (African malaria mosquito), 1411 nucleotides. RefSeq lists it as uncharacterized. Lineage: Eukaryota; Metazoa; Arthropoda; Insecta; Diptera; Culicidae. The transcript has 3 exons. The record is from RefSeq and is a predicted model, not a curated record.
CCGUAAGGCACUUGAACGCCCCUUCGACGACGAGUUGCAUGUGUGUGGUAUGUGUCAGAAUCUGGUGAAGCUUUCUGCAUGUGAUGUGCCUUGUGUGGAUCCGUGGCCAUUGCAUUGUGUCUGGUGCUUAGAUACCCAGACACUUAGAACGCUUGCGCGGAAAGCAAACUCGAUCGUUGUACACUUUGAUGGGUGACCAUCACUGUGUCUCCGUGCCGUGCUAGAUCCCCCCUAGCCGUAAGGCACUUUGAACGCCCCUUCGACGACGAGUUACAAGAGUGUGGUAUGUGUCAGAAUCUGGUGAAGCUUUCUGCAUGUGAUGUGCCUUGUGUGGAUCCGUGGCCAUUGCAUUGUGUCUGGUGUGUAGGUACCCAGACACUUAGAACGCUUGCGCGGAAAGCAAACUCGAUCGUUGUACACUUUGAUGGGCAACCAUCACUGUGUCUCCGUGCCGUGCUAGAUCUCCCCUAGCCGUAAGGCACUUUGAACGCCCCUUCGACGACGAGUUACAAGAGUGUGGUAUGUGUCAUAAUCUGGUGAAGCUUUCUGCAUGUGAUGUGCCUUGUGUGGAUCCGUGGCCAUUGCAUUGUGUCUGGUGUGUAGGUACCCAGACACUUAAGCAAACUCGAUCGUUGUACACUGUGAUGGGCGAGCAUCACUGUGUCUCCGUGCCGUGUAAGAGCUCCCCUGGCCAUCAGGCACUUGAAAGGUCCUUCGACGACGAGUUACAAUAGUGGUGUGUUAGAUACGUCAGGUGAUGGUAUCUACUGUUGUGCAAUACGUAUCCGGCCACGGCACGGAACGAACGGGAACUGUGGUGCAGACAUACAAAGAGUUAAGCCUACUAGUCAUUAACUCUAAGGACGGGGCCAUGGGGCGGUACGCAAAGGAUACGGAUGAGCGAGUAUGCAGGCCCAAUACUCAAUAGCUCGAUCCGAUCCAAGCACAUGAGUUGACUGCGGCGCCAGGUUAACCAAUGUGCUAGAUUCUAUAUGGCCGGUAGAAUCUUGUGUCUUAAGCGAUUUGAUACCAAGACACCAGAACGAAAGUUAGUUGAAGAGUUAUUAAACUCUUAUGAAGUAUGGUUGUGCAACUACAACUUAUGACUUUAACCUAUAAAGUGGAUAUGGACUAUCAAUUAUAACAUGGGGCACACACCAUGUUCUCGAUCCAAUCCACGCACACGAGUUGCCUGAUUAGCGACAGGUAUACCGAUGUGCAAUACGUAUCCGGCCAUAGGCACGGAACGAACAGGAACUGUGGUGCAGUCAUUCAAGGGCCAUGGGGCGGUACGCAAAGGAUACGGAUGAGCGAGUAUGCAGGCCCAAUACUCAAUAGCUCGAUCCGAUCCAAGCACAUGAGUUGACUGCGGCGUCAGGUUAACCAAUGUGCUAGAUUCUAUUUGGCCAGU